Molecule: long non-coding RNA, 2044 nt
Filed under: Dromaius novaehollandiae (emu)
Lineage: Eukaryota; Metazoa; Chordata; Aves; Casuariiformes; Dromaiidae
Description: lncRNA (ENSDNVG00000014771.1)
Source: RNAcentral
CUAACACUUACUCUACAAUUUUACGCAGUUUGGCGCUUAUGCAGGUUCAACUCGGUCUAAUUCUCUGUGGUAAUUCCGCUGCUCUCAGUCAGUAUUAUGCCCAAGAUCAAKUUAACCUAUUUUUCAGGGCAGUGGGGUUACUCAAACACAGUUUUCAGUGGAGUAUGAGCCUUCAGCUUUAAACACAUGCUCYAUGUUUUUUAUUAAAUGCAUUUUUUUCUGUUUUCUGGCGAGCAGGUGGGUGAACCCUGGCACUAAUGCAGUCUGUCCUCUUCUGAACCCAGGAAACCUGGCUGCGCGAGCGUGGUUCCCAAGCUCUUCACGCAGGUUUCCCGUGUCAGAUUUAUGAAUGAAGAACCUGGAGGUGGCUGAUCCUGGGAGUUCCUUCUUGCAUCCUGCUUGGUCUCGUGAACGCGUACGGUCUGAGUCCAUCCAAAGCAAAACGUGAGAAAGGUGAAGCAUCCCUAGCAGAAGGCUGACCAGGUUCUGUGACUCGAUACAUAUGUUAAUGAACAUCAGGUGGAAAAAAACGUGGGCAUUCAAAUUAAGGACUGGAGUAAUAGUUAGAAAAGAAUGGGCCCUCGUUACCAAGCACAAAAACGUACCUUCAGGAGAAAGGCUCCCUGGCAUAGCAGGUGGGAUGGGAUAUCUGGGAGCAUGUUUAAGGUAAGCCCAUCAGCAGCAUUUUCCUGCCGACUAUUCUUUCCUGUUUUCUAACCAUGCCUUUUUCAGGGCACCAGCUAACUUGUGCGCUGCUCAUUUUAGACCCCGUGCGAAUGCCGUGGUCACUGUGUACUGCACGAAGGCUUUUACACCUGAGGUUUUCAUCAGCUCUAGUCCUAGCUUCUUCCAGAGACAGACAGUAGCUGUAGGUUGUGGGGUAUCGUCAGAGUGAGCCUGGAUUUUUCAGGAUGUGCAUUUACGUUUAGAUAGCCUAAUUCUCUUGUCAGCUCUACAUCUAAGUGGGCACAAUCCAAAUUGCUCUGUGCAAAAAUCUCCUACUAAGCCAGAGAGCUGGCCUUCAAUACUAGAGUGCCGAUAAAAUGAGAUUCAGUGGUUGCAGAAAUCCAAACUAAAGCCCAGAAGUAAAGUACCAAUUACCAGUAAAGGCAGUUAGUCAUUGAGACAUAUUACAAAGGUCUGCACUAAAUUUACCAUAACUAGGAGCUGUUCUCGAAAGUGUGGGGCAGUUUUUCCGCCAGUUACAGGAUCGGACACUGGAAUCACUGGGCGAUACUCUGUGGUUUGUUUCAUGCAGGUAAGUUGUGCUGCUUGAUUAUAAUGGUUCUUCUGGUUUAUGCAUAAUGAAUCAUCCCGUGAUUAAAUCACUAUGAAGACUCAAAUGGUACGCAGAUAGAGACAAAACCACUUUCAGCUAUGCUAACACUGAUGGAAUAUAAUUUUCUUUACUGUAAUUUAAAUAUGYACGGUGUUGUUCCUGUCAUUCGUAAGUGUAAGUUUCUUAUAGAGUUAACAGAUUCUGUUUCAGUCUUUGUUGUGUAAAAACAGUAUUAUGGAUGCAAGUGAAAUGUAAAUCUUCUAAGAAUCACAUUGAAAUUCAUGGAGCAGAUACAGAAAUUCCACUGCUUGCUGUAUUCGCAUUCAGUGCGUUAUGUAUUUACUUAAUGCUAGAGAUGGAAGAUUAAAACAAAAUCAUUGUCUCAAAAAACACCAGUAAACAGGCUUAGAGUCUACUCUCUCCCUUAGGACUGAGUACCAUUUCCAGGCAAAGGAAGUACUCUGUGCAAGCAAGAGCUGCAAAGUCAUUCCCUAAAUGAGACAGCGAGGAGGGGAAAAAAAAAAAGAAUCAAGGACUGAGUGCCAGAGUGAGAACAGACAGCAGAGGAGGAAUAAUGGGUGAGAGAAAGCUAAAGAGAAGACUCUGAAGGAUGAUAGCUCUUCUGGAUGAAAAGGCUGACUUGAAAUAAUUCAGGCUGUUCCUGCUCUGUGGUGCUCCUGGGGAAGCACCUGGCUUAAGGCAAUUUAUCCAGCUGUCAGCUUGUUUUCACACAGACAAUAAAUGCAUCCUGGGAUUGUGACUUCA